CUUUGAUCUCAUGGCUCUGUCUUUUACUCAAGUCUAGUUUUGUGCCACUGCAAAGCCAUGGUUUAGCCCGUGAGCACAGCUGGGACCUGUGAUUUGAGGGUGGUUCGGGGAAGGAUCCCAUGUAAAAUAAAUGAGGAUCGGUUAGAAGAAUCCUUCGCUCUGUUUUGAGCCGCUUGGAAAAGCCAUCUGGCAACUAAGGGUUAAAUAUACCGAGUUGAGAUUGCUAGAAGGGAAGAAGGAAAACCCUGGCAAGCAGGAAACGGAACUGUCUCCAUAGGAAGUGCUCCCACUCUCCCCCACCCAAAAAAGGUCCCUUCCGGUCUGUCCUUUUUCUUCCUCCGGGAGGAAAGCGUGACUUGGCCUUCUAGAAAGGUUCUUUGGGGAUCUGUUGGAGCCUCUUCCUGCCUCUCCCCCUCCCAAUUGCGACUGGGUUGGUGAGAAAUCUCUCUGUGGAAGCUCAGUCAGAGAUCCAGGUAGCAGAGCAGCCUCACUUCCAGACCAAACAGAGUGCCCAGCAAGAAGAGAGCCAUCAGAGCAAUAGGGAGGUGUCCGCCUUGAUCGGUAAGGAUUCAUGUUUUUCCCUGUGUGAAAGGAGAAUCAUUUUUCUUUGUUUUUUGUUUUACUUAACUCUCUUGGUCUGUGGGAAAGGAAAAAAAAACUAUUCUUUUGUUCUUUAUGUGCUUCAACCCAGUGCUGUGGUUUUCAGUAUUCCAAGAUUUUUUUUAUAUAGCAACCAGUUCCUUGUGGCUAAAUGGAAAUGCAUUUUCACCCAUAUUUCUCCAUGAGUGGUCUCCACAUUCUUUCAAUAAAUAAAAAUAAAUAAAAAUAAAAUAUUUUCA
This 839-nucleotide long non-coding RNA is filed under the name Pogona vitticeps (central bearded dragon). RNAcentral's name for it is "lncRNA (ENSPVIG00000005880.1)". Lineage: Eukaryota; Metazoa; Chordata; Lepidosauria; Squamata; Agamidae. The record is from RNAcentral.